Molecule: long non-coding RNA, 368 nt
Filed under: Equus caballus (horse)
Lineage: Eukaryota; Metazoa; Chordata; Mammalia; Perissodactyla; Equidae
Description: lncRNA (ENSECAG00000043827.1)
Source: RNAcentral
AAGUAGCUCAGGACACAGGACAUCAGGAAGGAUGCUGUGCUAAAAAUGAAAGUCUACAUAAGAAAGGUCCACCCAAUUGAGGCAUCCAACUUUACACAAGCCACUUAGCCUUUCUAAGCCUCAGUUUCCUCAGCUGUAUAGAGGGGAUUUCAUUACCUCCUUCUUGUUUCCUUGGAUCGCCAGUGCCUUCCUAUCAUUCCCCACCGGCAAGCCCCUCUGUCACACGGUGUUUCUGAAGCAUCAGAGCUUCUCAGUGACUGAUAAGAACUCCUUCUCCCCCAGGAUUAUUUCAGGAUUCUCUGAUGACACGUCAAAUCCCUUUCCUGUGAUGGUAAAUCAGUAGGUUCAGCCACACGAGGAAGCACAGC